Molecule: small RNA, 610 nt
Filed under: human gut metagenome
Source: RNAcentral
AACUGCGGUGGUGCAGUAUCCUAGUCAACCUGCUCAAUUCCCAGGAAGGGCCUAAAAAUCCUUUGAAGGGCACAUCGAUGAAGUUCCUGGUGCCGGCUUUGAACGCCCAGUUUGGGGUUGGUGCUGGGAGUUAAGGUUUAGGGGCAGCCUGCAAUGGCAUGCGGACCCUGUCCCCUUUUCCGCGGAGACCUGAUCUUGUGUCCGAAAAUGCCUUUUAGUAAAAGCGUUUUUCGAUACGACUCAGGGUUAAACCUGUUAUGCGGUACUGUUUGUGCUGUGAACAGAGUAGCCUGUCUUGAGUGGUUAUGGUGAAUAAUGGAUCAGACAUCGGUCUAUUGGCCAAUGGACCGGCGUUAUCGCUGUUUGAAACCAUGGCUGCAAAAGAGACUAAGAAUUGACGCAGUUGCGGAGGAAAACUCCUAGGCUGUUCGUAAGAGAUGGGUACAGGAUUGAAGUGCGUACUUAGUGGUAAUCCGGCUCUGCAAUUGGCGACAGUGCGGCCGGUGCUUUAAAGGGAAACCGUCGAAAUGGCGACAUUCGAUAGCACCGGGGGAAAUCCUGCCGGACCUAUGCCGCAGAUUUUACUGUAUUCAUUGCCACCUGUUAUGAA